RNAcentral lists this ribosomal RNA (506 nucleotides) under uncultured bacterium. RNAcentral's name for it is "partial 16S ribosomal RNA". It matches the Rfam family "Bacterial small subunit ribosomal RNA", at positions 29 to 523 of the family's 1533-position model. The record is from RNAcentral.
AUUGAACGCUGGCGGCAGGCCUAACACAUGCAAGUCGGACGGUAGCACAGAGGAGCUUGCUCCUUGGGUGACGAGUGGCGGACGGGUGAGUAAUGUCUGGGGAUCUGCCCGAUAGAGGGGGAUAACCACUGGAAACGGUGGCUAAUACCGCAUAACGUCGCAAGACCAAAGAGGGGGACCUUCGGGCCUCUCACUAUCGGAUGAACCCAGAUGGGAUUAGCUAGUAGGCGGGGUAAUGGCCCACCUAGGCGACGAUCCCUAGCUGGUCUGAGAGGAUGACCAGCCACACUGGAACUGAGACACGGUCCAGACUCCUACGGGAGGCAGCAGUGGGGAAUAUUGCACAAUGGGCGCAAGCCUGAUGCAGCCAUGCCGCGUGUAUGAAGAAGGCCUUCGGGUUGUAAAGUACUUUCAGCGGGGAGGAAGGCGAUGCGGUUAAUAACCGCAUCGAUUGACGUUACCCGCAGAAGAAGCACCGGCUAACUCCGUGCCAGCAGCAGCCGCCG